AGACCCGAAACCCGGUGAUCUAGCCAUGGGCAGGUUGAAGGUUGGGUAACACUAACUGGAGGACCGAACCGACUAAUGUUGAAAAAUUAGCGGAUGACCUGUGGCUGGGGGUGAAAGGCCAAUCAAACCGGGAGAUAGCUGGUUCUCCCCGAAAGCUAUUUAGGUAGCGCCUCGUGAAUUCAUCUCCGGGGGUAGAGCACUGUUUCGGCUAGGGGGCCAUCCCGGCUUACCAACCCGAUGCAAACUGCGAAUACCGGAGAAUGUUAUCACGGGAGACACACGGCGGGUGCUAACGUCCGUCGUGAAGAGGGAAACAACCCAGACCGCCAGCUAAGGUCCCAAAGUCAUGGUUAAGUGGGAAACGAUGUGGGAAGGCCCAGACAGCCAGGAUGUUGGCUUAGAAGCAGCCAUCAUUUAAAGAAAGCGUAAUAGCUCACUGGUCGAGUCGGCCUGCGCGGAAGAUGUAACGGGGCUAAACCAUGCACCGAAGCUGCGGCAGCGACACUCAGGUGUUGUUGGGUAGGGGAGCGUUCUGUAAGCCUGUGAAGGUGGCCUGUGAGGGUUGCUGGAGGUAUCAGAAGUGCGAAUGCUGACAUAAGUAACGAUAAAGCGGGUGAAAAGCCCGCUCGCCGGAAGACCAAGGGUUCCUGUCCAACGUUAAUCGGGGCAGGGUGAGUCGACCCCUAAGGCGAGGCCGAAAGGCGUAGUCGAUGGGAAACGGGUUAAUAUUCCCGUACUUGGUGUUACUGCGAAGGGGGGACGGAGAAGGCUAUGUUGGCCGGGCGACGGUUGUCCCGGUUUAAGCGUAUAGGUGUGUGUUCCAGGUAAAUCCGGUUCACUUUAACACUGAGGCGUGAUGACGAGGCGCUACGGUGCUGAAGCAACAAAUGCCCUGCUUCCAGGAAAAGCCUCUAAGCAUCAGGUAACAUCAAAUCGUACCCCAAACCGACACAGGUGGUCAGGUAGAGAAUACCAAGGCGCUUGAGAGAACUCGGGUGAAGGAACUAGGCAAAAUGGUGCCGUAACUUCGGGAGAAGGCACGCUGACAU
This 1049-nucleotide ribosomal RNA is filed under the name Salmonella enterica subsp. enterica serovar Oranienburg. Its description in RNAcentral is "partial 23S ribosomal RNA". It matches the Rfam family "Bacterial large subunit ribosomal RNA", at positions 711 to 1757 of the family's 2925-position model. The record is from RNAcentral. Lineage: Bacteria; Pseudomonadati; Pseudomonadota; Gammaproteobacteria; Enterobacterales; Enterobacteriaceae.